CUCCUCUGCUGCAGGCGGGCUCCGCCGCCCCCCCGUCACCCUCCAGGAGCAGGUGAGCCACUGACUAACGCACAUUGUGCUCUCGGCGACUCCACUGUGCGUGUGACAGCGGCUAACCUGCUCCUCGGACAUCACGGUGCGGCCGCCUCGCCUCCCCGGACCCGCGCCUCGAAGCCUCGACGCCCUCCUGCCCUCUCGGCCAGCCAGGUGAGGGGCUCCGGCGUGACAAGCAGUCGGCUCCCCCGUCCGUCGCCACUGUCCUGCCUCCAGCGGUUCCCCAUCCUCGGCUCUGCGGACCCCUGCGCUGCCGGGAGUGCCCCGGGAUCGGCCGCACUCGCACAGGGAGCGCGAAAAGAUUGAACACUUCCUGCAGCGGGGCUCGGUGUGUCCGGCGGGAGCGGAGAUGCAGGGAACGGGCCGUGUCGGCAUGUGGGUGCGAAUAAUUGGUGGUAAAGUUGUUCAGGAGAGAUGGCGUGUUCCCCUCUCUGUUCUCUUGCUCUUCUCCAAAGUAAAUAAGUGCUAGCGGACUCGUACCAAGUUAGAGACGCAUCAUCCCGGCCGCUGACGUCUUGAUACCCGGUCAGUGACUAACUGAACUGCUAUUGCCAAGGGUGUGUUAAUAGAAGAAACUCUGCCUAGUGUUGCCCUGGAUGAGUCACAUUUAAAGAGAGACUCUCGAGUCUGCUGAAGGAAAAGCAGGAACGAGCCUCACUUUCUUUUUUUGUUGCUGGUUUUUCUUUCCAUCCCACCCCUCACCUUUGCUCACUGUUUACUACUUCUUGUGCCAGGGCUCUGUUGGCACUCCAGUCCUGGCUGAGCAUUUGCAGAGCUGCCUUGGCCGAUGUGCUGUGAUGUCACGCAGGGGACUCUGACUUCAUGGCCCCGAGGAACAGGAAGGCGAGCCAGGCAGGGACUUUUCCAGCCACCCAGGGUGGCUGUUGUUAAAAACGGAGGAAGUGACGAAGCAGAUGGCUUCUCCUACAAAGUUAUCUCUUGCGAUUUUAUGCUGGUGAAGAAGCUGGGUAGUUGAAAAGUAUAUUUUCUGAAGAGCAGCACAGCUUCAUUGUCAGCUGAAGUUCCUAAUAACCAGCUAGGAUUCACCUCAGCUGCUGAGGUUUCCUGAAAGCGCUCAGGUAUUCCCCCUACUCUUGGGGCUGCUCUCAUGUAGCCCUGGGCUGUUAUAAAGGCUUGAUCUGAAGGAAUUAGCAGUGCUCUGGUCAAUAAGUAGUUAAUUGCACAGAAGGCAGAGCAAGGUCCUCUGUUGGUAGUGUCUCUCUAAGAAGUUUUGCCUGUCCCUAUCUCUCCUUCAUGCUCUUUGUAAUUUCUGCCUCUGGGUCCCAGAGGACCAUCUGUUCCUCACAAGAAAACUCAGCCCCCUCUGUGCUCUGUUUUUCCGUAGUGCUCAAACACCCUGGGAAGAUGGGAAAACCAACUGAAUUUACCCAAGAUGCUUUCAUGUUUGUUCAGAAGCCGAAUGGGCCUUUUUUUGGUGGGGGGGAGAGGGGGCAGGGCUCAGACAAGUUCACGGCUGUCUCAGCCCCGGAUUGCUUUUUUCUUCCCUAGCUGCACCUAGAGCAUCUUCCCACUGCUGGUCCCAAGCAGGCAGGAGCACAGUGUAGCCACAUGGAGAGAGGGAAACCUGGUGCAAAAUCCACCCAUGUACGAGUGUGUCUGAGAGCUGAAACUAAAGGCCAGAGACCCCUGCCAAUCCAUUUUAUUGGUGACCAUGCAAGUAACAAACCUGUGUCUGAAAAUGAAGGUGCUUUGUUUUUCUUUGAAUAAACAGCCCAGCGUUUGGGACUGUGCUGGCUGAUGACUUAACCCCGGGAGAUGCCGCUGGCAGAAGCAGCUCUGCAGGUCGCCUGGCAAGACCUGUCCCAGUUCCCAUGAGCAGCACUAUGGUAUGAAUGCUUCUGACUUCCUGCUACCAAUGGAACCAUCCUGUUCAGCUCCACUCUUCAUGGAGGGAAGGGAACAGGCCUUACCCUUCAAGCAUCACACUAAGCAGCGCCUGUUGUGUCCUGUCCAUAACAUGUCCCAGUGUCAGGGCAAGGUAGAAUGCAGUCACUCUGCACUCUGAGAUGGAGAAGGAAAAAUCAUCAUAGGAGAGCAGAGAAUGCUCCCUGCAUGGACACACACCGGUUCAAACAUCUCUUCUUCAUCUACAGUGAACUAUGCUAGUAGAAUCUGUGCAGCCAGGAGCAAGCAGCAGAGCAUCUGUACACCACUUGGGGAGCAAAACCAACAGGCAUUUUCUCCUCCAGACAUUCACACCUUUCCUUAUGUAACUGGUGCUGAAGUGUGUGCUUUAAAAGCUGCUUGCCAAAUCCAGGGGCUGGAAGGCAGCACAAACGCUUCUAGCACUCUAGCUGAAAUUGAGGGGGAAAAAAAUCCAAACCCAAACACCCAGGAACUUGCACAAAUACAUAACCGCAACUUGGGGAUGGUUCAAGUGUCUGCAGCAGUGUUACCCUGAAGAAACUGCAUUGGCCUAGGACAGUGCUGGCACCCAGACCACCAUCUGAUGAGGAUGGUGAGGAGCUGACAGUCCAGGAUAGAGGAGCAAGGAGCUGGGGGUUAGUUUUCUUAUGCAAUGUUAAAAAAAAAAACAAACCUAAAAAAAAAAAUAAAUCAGGUAGUGCAGCCAGGAAAAGGGUGCCAGGGAGGCUGGAGGUGGCUCAAAUGCUCUUCUGAAUGGUGCCUUGUGUUGACCGAACCUGCAGAUUUAUUAAAAAAAAAAAUAAACAACAAAAAUGUGGGGCUGCUCACCAGUGAAAAACAGGUAUAUCCUUUGCUUUGUGAUUUUUGGUGACACUGGAGCUAGCCAGGAGAAACAUCUGAGGAGAGAGAAGCUCUGAAGUCCAUUCCCGCCCACUCCAGGGCAGGAAGAAGCUGCCCACGGCGCCUGAGGGACAUGGGGACACGAGUCCCUGCACAGCCAGGCACAGCAUCCUUGAGCCACCCUGCACGCUUGGAUCCCUGCCUUGCCCGCGAGCCAGUUGUUCCCUCUCCAGUACGCGCCGUACG
Long non-coding RNA from Parus major (Great Tit), 3027 nucleotides. RefSeq lists it as uncharacterized. The record is from RefSeq and is a predicted model, not a curated record. Lineage: Eukaryota; Metazoa; Chordata; Aves; Passeriformes; Paridae. The transcript has 3 exons.